RNAcentral lists this ribosomal RNA (480 nucleotides) under Phyllidia haegeli. RNAcentral's name for it is "partial large subunit ribosomal RNA". It matches the Rfam family "Archaeal large subunit ribosomal RNA", at positions 1893 to 2671 of the family's 2987-position model. The record is from RNAcentral. Lineage: Eukaryota; Metazoa; Mollusca; Gastropoda; Nudibranchia; Phyllidiidae.
UUUUUUUUUAAAACAUAGCUUUAGGAAAUUAUCUAAAGUUAAACCUGCUCAGUGUAUAAAUUUUUUAAAUAUGGUAUAAAUAGCCGCGGUACUUUGACCGUGCUAAGGUAGCGCAAUAAAUUGGCUUUUAAUUGGAGUCAGGUAUGAAUGGAUUUACGGAAUUUAGCUGUCUCUAAACUAAUUUCUUGAAAUUACUAUAUAGGUGAAAAAGCCUAUAUAAAUAAAAUAGACGAGAAGACCCUUAGAGUUUUAUUUAAUGUAAGUUAUUCUUACAAUAAUUUAGUUGGGGCAACUUAGGAACAGAAAUAUUAGUAACUUCCUAAAAUAUGAUUAUUUAACGAUCUUAGUAAAGUUAUAUAAACUACCUUAGGGAUAACAGCAUAAUUUAUUUUAUAAGUUUGUGACCUCGAUGUUGGACUAGGGAAUUAGAAGGCUAGCCGCUUUUUAAAAAGGUUCUGUUCGAACUGUUAAUCCUACAUG